CACGUAGGGUGCGAGCGUUGUCCGGAAUUAUUGGGCGUAAAGAGCUCGUAGGCGGUGUGUCGCGUCGGCCGUGAAAACCUGCAGCUUAACUGUGGGCUUGCGGUCGAUACGGGCAUCACUGGAGUUCGGCAGGGGAGACUGGAAUUCCUGGUGUAGCGGUGAAAUGCGCAGAUAUCAGGAGGAACACCGGUGGCGAAGGCGGGUCUCUGGGCCGAUGACUGACGCUGAGGCGCGAAAGCGUGGGGAGCAAACAGG
Molecule: ribosomal RNA, 255 nt
Filed under: uncultured bacterium
Lineage: Bacteria
Description: partial 16S ribosomal RNA
Rfam family: Bacterial small subunit ribosomal RNA
Source: RNAcentral